This is a long non-coding RNA of Trachemys scripta elegans, 1590 nucleotides long. RefSeq lists it as uncharacterized. Lineage: Eukaryota; Metazoa; Chordata; Testudines; Emydidae. The transcript has 3 exons. The record is from RefSeq and is a predicted model, not a curated record.
AGGUUGCACAUGCAGCCAUAGUUCUGGCAUUUCCUAACUUUGAGUGGUGGAUUUUUACAAACUUAAUAAGUUUGGUUUUUUUAAACAUUUUGCGUGUGUGUGUGUGUGUAUAAUAUAUUAAAUAAAGCAAGACUGAUUGACAAUCACAUCAGUUACUGCAAGUAGGAGGAAGUAAGCAUAAAUAUAAACUGGGAUAGUAAAUGUAAUAUUUAAUUUUACAGUCCACGUCUCCUCUAUACCAGUGAAUGUAGUGGUUUUGAAAAAUUCCAGAUUGACAGUACUGCAGCCUGAUGUAAUCUCUUUAUAGAUCAGUUCUAACACAGAUAGCAGCACUUCUAGUUUCUUCAUCUGUAUUCUGUAGAGAUCACCUCUGUAGGUAAGAUAAUAGAUCAUUUAUUGGUUUCUCUGUUAAGACUGCCAAUAAAGGUACAAAUAAUGGUGUUGUAAUAUGGUCAGCUAUGUAUUUGGAACUGGACUAAAACCAGCAACUCAUGUCAUGUAGGCCAUUGAAGAAUUGUCAGAUAGUAUCGAUAUAGUAGCUGGUCUGGAAUCAGAGCUGUGCUCUAAAGAUAUAACUCACAUUGGCUUGCAGGGUUAGUAAAGAGUAAAGCUACGAUUCUGUCACAGAGGUCAGAAUCCAUUACUUUCUGAGAUCUCCGUGACUACUUCCGCAGUGACAGGGCGGUAGCAGCUGUCAGCCCUGGGACCACCAGAGCAGCAGGCAGUGGUCAGCCCCGAAGCUGCUGGAGCAGUGGCCCCCGGGAUGCCAGAGCAGUUGCCGCCAGAGCACCGGCUCCAGGGCUGAAGCAGUGGCCAGGGUUGGGUCAUUCCCCCCUGGGGCUGGAGCAUCAGCGGUCAGCCCCUGAUGUAGUAGCAGGGCUGAAGUGCUCUGACUGUUUCCCUCCCCUGCCCCCCCAAUGUAUUUUUAGUAAAAAUCACAGACAUGUUGUGGGCUUCACUGAUUACAUGUAGGAAAUGCAGUAUAUUCCAUAAGGUGAAUUGUUACCUCAUAAAUGCUGUAAAUUGUGUUGAUAUUCUGGACUUACUGUUGCAGAUAUUUAUAUAAAACCCCAGAUCUGCAGUGAUUGGCAGCGUGUACAUGAGUGGAGAGCAUAACCUAGAAGGUUCAAUCCUGUUAAAAUCAGUGGCAUUACUUCCAGUGACUAUAGCAGGAACAUGUACAACUAUGUUCCAUGACUGUCUGAUGAAACUGAUUGUCCAUUAACAUUGUUGAUGCUGUGAACACCGCGAUCACCCUUGGAAUGAUGCAUUAGUUAGACAAUAGCUGUAAGUCACAUCUUUCAAUUUAAACUUUUCAUUUUAUAUCUAGCUGUCAUUGUUGAAACCUUGUGCAGCUGGUGGAAAGGACUAAAAACCAUUCUACCAAAGUUCUGUUCCUUUUUAUUGUAAUAAGUUCUAUGUGUCAUAUUUCAAAAUAUAUUUAAAUUGUAAUAUUGUGAAAGGUACUUUAUAAAAUAUUAAACUGAAGGCCUGAUCCUGUGAAGGGCUGGAUGUUCUCAAAUCCCACUGACCUUAAAAGGAGUCAAUGAGCAUUUUACAAUGAGGUGUUCAACACCUUGCAGGAUCAAG